GGAGAUGUGGCUCAGUGGUUAAGAGCUCUUGCUGUUCUUGCAAAGGACCUGGGUUUGAUUCCCAGCCCCCA
This 71-nucleotide transfer RNA is filed under the name Cricetulus griseus (Chinese hamster). It matches the Rfam family "tRNA". Rfam says of the family: Transfer RNA (tRNA) molecules are approximately 80 nucleotides in length. Their secondary structure includes four short double-helical elements and three loops (D, anti-codon, and T loops). The record is from Rfam by way of RNAcentral. Lineage: Eukaryota; Metazoa; Chordata; Mammalia; Rodentia; Cricetidae.